AGACAGAUUUAGAUCGAGGACGUGGAUGUCAAAGACGAUAUGAACAUGGCGUGGCAUAUCCAUAAAUGGACACAACACGCCAUUUUCGCGUCGUCUUUGACGUCCGCGUCCUCAAUCUAAAUAUGUCU
Molecule: non-coding RNA, 128 nt
Organism: Paramuricea clavata
Lineage: Eukaryota; Metazoa; Cnidaria; Anthozoa; Malacalcyonacea; Plexauridae
Source: the annotation of a GenBank genome assembly